Podarcis lilfordi (Lilford's wall lizard) is the source of this 74-nucleotide non-coding RNA. NCBI's taxonomy places the organism in Eukaryota, Metazoa, Chordata, Lepidosauria, Squamata, Lacertidae. The record is from the annotation of a GenBank genome assembly.
GCUCAUGGGACAGCUCAGCUGGCAGAACAUGAGACUAUUAAUCUCAGUCAUGGGUUCGAGCCCCACGUUGGGCA